UACGUAGGGGGCAAGCGUUGUCCGGAUUUAUUGGGCGUAAAGAGCGUGUAGGCGGCCAAACAGGUCAGCUGUGAAAACUCGAGGCUCAACCUCGAGACGUCGGUUGAAACCGUUUGGCUAGAGUCCGGAAGAGGAGUGUGGAAUUCCCGGUGUAGCGGUGAAAUGCGCAGAUAUCGGGAAGAACACCCGUGGCGAAGGCGGCACUCUGGGACGGUACUGACGCUGAGACGCGAAAGCGUGGGGAGCGAACAGG
This 253-nucleotide ribosomal RNA is filed under the name uncultured bacterium. Its description in RNAcentral is "partial 16S ribosomal RNA". It matches the Rfam family "Bacterial small subunit ribosomal RNA", at positions 524 to 776 of the family's 1533-position model. The record is from RNAcentral.